AAGUAAAAUUUAAAAAGUAAAUAUAAAGAAACAUAUUAAUGUAUAGAAAACAUAACAAAACCCUAAAACAGUUUAACUAUAAAUUUGCAAGGAAAUUGCAAUGGUUUCCUCGCAAAUCUAUUGCAAAUUUGCAAGGGAUUAAGCUCCAUCACAAUUUGCGAGGGAUUUGCGAGGGAUCCGUUGCAAUUCCCUUGCAAAUCUGGUUUCCCCAAAAUAAAAAAAAAAAGAAAAGAGGAGAAGAGUUUCCAGAACUAGGGUUCGUAUAUAAUUACAUAAACCUAAUGCUCUUCAUUUGUUCGAGCUGUCAAGAAAAAAAACCAAUUUUUUUUUAAUCUUUUCUCUCCUCUCGCUGGACCUCUCUCUCUCGCUCUCCCGUGUUUGCUCUCUCAUUCUUACCUCCAUGGCUCCUCUCCGACCACACCGCCAGAUCUCUACUCGUCGCCGGCUCUCCUCUCUUCUCACACCGCCGGAUCUCCUCUUUCUUUCUCACGCCGGCUCACCUCUCUCUGUCUUUCACACCAAUGAACGUUACUCCACAAAGCUCUUGCUCAGCGUCCCACCACCACCACGGAAUGUAGAAGCAAGGCAAGACAAGGCACACCACGGUUAGAUUUGAUUUCUUUCAUUUGGUAAAGGAAGUUGAAGGAUGGAGAAGAAGCUUGAUGGUUGAGGAGACCAGGGAAGCCGUGGUCGCAGGGGUGGUGGUGCGGCUGGUGGUGCGGCGAAGGAGGCCAGAAGUGGAGGAGUCAUGGAGGUGGCUCUUUCAUUUUAGGGUUCGAGAUUCUUUAAUCCGGUUUAAUCAACUAAACUGGUUUAAUUAACUAAACCGGCUUGUUGUAAAUUAACUUUUGUUUUAAGAUUUUUAUUCAUGUAUUUACAUUUAUCUAAAUGUAUCAGUUUAAUAUAUAUUAUAUAAUUUAUUUGUAA
This is a long non-coding RNA of Raphanus sativus (radish), 927 nucleotides long. RefSeq lists it as uncharacterized. The record is from RefSeq and is a predicted model, not a curated record. The transcript has 2 exons. NCBI's taxonomy places the organism in Eukaryota, Viridiplantae, Streptophyta, Magnoliopsida, Brassicales, Brassicaceae.